GAUGGCGCGGGCUACCAUGCAGUCGAGCGGUAACACAGGGAGCUUGCUCCCGGGUGACGAGCGGCGGACGGGUGAGUAAUGUCUGGGAAACUGCCUGAUGGAGGGGGAUAACUACUGGAAACGGUAGCUAAUACCGCAUAACGUCGCAAGACCAAAGAGGGGGACCUUCGGGCCUCUUGCCAUCAGAUGUGCCCAGAUGGGAUUAGCUAGUAGGUGGGGUAACGGCUCACCUAGGCGACGAUCCCUAGCUGGUCUGAGAGGAUGACCAGCCACACUGGAACUGAGACACGGUCCAGACUCCUACGGGAGGCAGCAGUGGGGAAUAUUGCACAAUGGGCGCAAGCCUGAUGCAGCCAUGCCGCGUGUAUGAAGAAGGCCUUCGGGUUGUAAAGUACUUUCAGCGGGGAGGAAGGUGUUGAGGUUAAUAACCUCAGCAAUUGACGUUACCCGCAGAAGAAGCACCGGCUAACUCCGUGCACGCCAG
RNAcentral lists this ribosomal RNA (484 nucleotides) under Enterobacter sp. YC49B. RNAcentral's name for it is "bacterial SSU rRNA". It matches the Rfam family "Bacterial small subunit ribosomal RNA", at positions 37 to 514 of the family's 1533-position model. Lineage: Bacteria; Pseudomonadati; Pseudomonadota; Gammaproteobacteria; Enterobacterales; Enterobacteriaceae. The record is from RNAcentral.